AUACGUAGGUGACAAGCGUUAUCCGGAUUUACUGGGCGUAAAGGGUGUGUAGGCGGUCUUGCAAGUCAGAAGUGAAAUUCCUGAGCUCAACUCGGGCGCUGCUUCUGAAACUGCAGGACUUGAGUGCUGGAGGGGAAAGUGUAAUUCCUAGUGUAGCGGUAAAAUGCGCCGAUAUUAGGAAGAACACCAGUGGCGCAGGCGGCUAUCUGGACUACAACUGACGCGUAGGCGCAGAAGCGUGGAUAGCAAUAAGGAUUAUGUAGACAGAUAAUCAUCGCCGUAAACGCUGAAUACUAGGUGUACGUGGGAACGACUCCAUCUGUGACGCAGUUAACACAAUAAGUAUUCCACCUGGGGAGUACGAUCGCAAGAUUGAAGCUCAAAGAAAUUGACGGGG
Molecule: ribosomal RNA, 397 nt
Filed under: uncultured bacterium
Lineage: Bacteria
Description: partial 16S ribosomal RNA
Rfam family: Bacterial small subunit ribosomal RNA
Source: RNAcentral